UGCAAGUCGAGCGGCAGCGGGAAGAUAGUUUACUAUCUUUGCCGGCGAGCGGCGGACGGGUGAGUAAUGCCUAGGGAUCUGCCCAGUCGAGGGGGAUAACAGUUGGAAACGACUGCUAAUACCGCAUACGCCCUACGGGGGAAAGGAGGGGACCUUCGGGCCUUCCGCGAUUGGAUGAACCUAGGUGGGAUUAGCUAGUUGGUGAGGUAAUGGCUCACCAAGGCGACGAUCCCUAGCUGUUCUGAGAGGAUGAUCAGCCACACUGGGACUGAGACACGGCCCAGACUCCUACGGGAGGCAGCAGUGGGGAAUAUUGCACAAUGGGGGAAACCCUGAUGCAGCCAUGCCGCGUGUGUGAAGAAGGCCUUCGGGUUGUAAAGCACUUUCAGUAGGGAGGAAAGGUAGCAGCUUAAUACGCUGUUGCUGUGACGUUACCUACAGAAGAAGGACCGGCUAACUCCGUGCCAGCAGCCGCGGUAAUACGGAGGGUCCGAGCGUUAAUCGGAAUUACUGGGCGUAAAGCGUGCGCAGGCGGUUUGUUAAGCGAGAUGUGAAAGCCCCGGGCUCAACCUGGGAAUUGCAUUUCGAACUGGCGAACUAGAGUCUUGUAGAGGGGGGUAGAAUUCCAGGUGUAGCGGUGAAAUGCGUAGAGAUCUGGAGGAAUACCGGUGGCGAAGGC
Molecule: ribosomal RNA, 679 nt
Filed under: Shewanella baltica
Lineage: Bacteria; Pseudomonadati; Pseudomonadota; Gammaproteobacteria; Alteromonadales; Shewanellaceae
Description: bacterial SSU rRNA
Rfam family: Bacterial small subunit ribosomal RNA
Source: RNAcentral